GUCGGUCAUAAGGGACUCGGUGGAGGUGACUGACACCAGCUGGACCUUGACAUGGGUGGGAGACAGUUGAUGAAGAGAAAGAAAGUGCAUCCGGGUGAAAAUGCUCAAGGGCAGAAAUGGCUGCACGAUAGGUACAGGAAAUCCUGCGGCUGCUUGAAGUGUGAUCUAACACUGAGUGAUCUAACAGAGAUGGAGAAGGAGAAUCGAGCCUGAGGAGGAAGGGCGAGCAGCCAUGAGAUGACACCUUCUGAGACUGAGAGAUGGGUACACAGUCUUCAUUUUGCAACCCUGCCCAGGAGCACAUUCCAGGUUUUCACGAAAACUGGCACUUUUGUUUCCUUUUGGAGUUAACUUUUAGGGUAAGCUGUCUGCCUGUGCAGUAUGCUUGCAAACAUAACUGGAAUAUUCUUUUGAAUUUAUCUCUCAAUAAAAUGUCUUCCAACCACCC
Molecule: long non-coding RNA, 448 nt
Filed under: Rattus norvegicus (Norway rat)
Lineage: Eukaryota; Metazoa; Chordata; Mammalia; Rodentia; Muridae
Description: long non-coding RNA NONRATT004291
Source: RNAcentral